This 376-nucleotide ribosomal RNA is filed under the name uncultured bacterium. RNAcentral's name for it is "bacterial SSU rRNA". It matches the Rfam family "Bacterial small subunit ribosomal RNA", at positions 28 to 404 of the family's 1533-position model. The record is from RNAcentral.
GACGAACGCUGGCGGCGUGCUUAACACAUGCAAGUCGAGCGGUAAGGCCCUUUCGGGGGGUACACGAGCGGCGAACGGGUGAGUAACACGUGGGUGACCUGCCCUUAGCUCUGGGAUAAGCCUGGGAAACUGGGUCUAAUACCGGAUAUGACUCCAUGACGCAUGUUGUGGGGUGGAAAGCCUUGUGCGGCUAGGGAUGGGCCCGCGGCCUAUCAGCUUGUUGGUGGGGUGAUGGCCUACCAAGGCGACGACGGGUAGCCGGCCUGAGAGGGCGACCGGCCACACUGGGACUGAGACACGGCCCAGACUCCUACGGGAGGCAGCAGUGGGGAAUCUUGCGCAAUGGGCGAAAGCCUGACGCAGCGACGCCGCGUGA